RNAcentral lists this ribosomal RNA (253 nucleotides) under uncultured bacterium. RNAcentral describes it as "partial 16S ribosomal RNA". It matches the Rfam family "Bacterial small subunit ribosomal RNA", at positions 524 to 776 of the family's 1533-position model. The record is from RNAcentral.
UACGUAGGUGGCGAGCGUUGUCCGGAAUUAUUGGGCGUAAAGCGCGCGUAGGCGGGUUAGUCAGUCUGUUGUAAAAGCGCGGGGCUCAACCCCGUAAGUUCAUUGGAAACUGCUAUUCUUGAGUGCAGGAGAGGAGAGUGGAAUUCCCAGUGUAGCGGUGAAAUGCGUAGAUAUUGGGAGGAACACCAGUGGCGAAGGCGGCUUUCUGGACUGUGACUGACGCUGAGGCGCGAAAGCCUGGGGAGCGAACGGG